This 76-nucleotide transfer RNA is filed under the name bacterium (Candidatus Gribaldobacteria) CG_4_10_14_0_8_um_filter_33_9. Its description in RNAcentral is "tRNA-Met". It matches the Rfam family "tRNA". From Rfam's summary of the family: Transfer RNA (tRNA) molecules are approximately 80 nucleotides in length. Their secondary structure includes four short double-helical elements and three loops (D, anti-codon, and T loops). The record is from RNAcentral. Lineage: Bacteria; Candidatus Gribaldobacteria.
GCCGGUGUAGCUCAGUGGCCAGAGCGGACGUUUCAUAAGCGUUAGGUCACAGGUUCAAUUCCUGUCACCGGCACUA